RNAcentral lists this ribosomal RNA (244 nucleotides) under uncultured bacterium. RNAcentral describes it as "partial small subunit ribosomal RNA". It matches the Rfam family "Bacterial small subunit ribosomal RNA", at positions 26 to 285 of the family's 1533-position model. The record is from RNAcentral.
AGAAUCAACGCUGGCGGCGUGCCUAACACAUGCAAGUCGAACGAGAAAGUGGAGCAAUCCAUGAGUACAGUGGCGCACGGGUGAGUAACACGUGACUAACCUACCCUUGAGUGGGGAAUAACCUGGAGAAAUCUAGGCUAAUACCGCAUAACACCUACGGGUCAAAGGAGCAAUUCGCUUAAGGAGGGGGUCGCGGCAGAUUAGCUAGUUGGCGGGUAAUGGCCCACCAAGGCAGUGAUCUGUA